Molecule: ribosomal RNA, 807 nt
Filed under: Phlegmacium daulnoyae
Lineage: Eukaryota; Fungi; Basidiomycota; Agaricomycetes; Agaricales; Cortinariaceae
Description: Cortinarius daulnoyae partial large subunit ribosomal RNA
Rfam family: Eukaryotic large subunit ribosomal RNA
Source: RNAcentral
GCGCUGGACCGUGUACAAGUCUCCUGGAAUGGAGCGUCAUAGAGGGUGAGAAUCCCGUCUUUGACACGGACUGCCAGGGCUUUGUGAUGCGCUCUCAAAGAGUCGAGUUGUUUGGGAAUGCAGCUCAAAAUGGGUGGUAAAUUCCAUCUAAAGCUAAAUAUUGGCGAGAGACCGAUAGCGAACAAGUACCGUGAGGGAAAGAUGAAAAGAACUUUGGAAAGAGAGUUAAACAGUACGUGAAAUUGCUGAAAGGGAAACGCUUGAAGUCAGUCGCGUUGUCCAGGGAUCAACCUUGCUUUUGCUUGGUGUACUUUCUGGUUGACGGGUCAGCAUCAAUUUUGACUGUUGGAAAAAGGUCAAGGGAAUGUGGCAUCUUUAGAUGUGUUAUAGCCCUUGGUUGCAUACAAUGGUUGGGAUUGAGGAACUCAGCACGCCGCAAGGCCGGGUAUUAACCACGUACGUGCUUAGGAUGCUGGCAUAAUGGCUUUAAUCGACCCGUCUUGAAACACGGACCAAGGAGUCUAACAUGCCUGCGAGUGUUUGGGUGGAAAACCCGAGCGCGUAAUGAAAGUGAAAGUUGAGAUCCCUGUCGUGGGGAGCAUCGACGCCCGGACCAGACCUUUUGUGACGGUUCCGCGGUAGAGCAUGUAUGUUGGGACCCGAAAGAUGGUGAACUAUGCCUGAAUAGGGUGAAGCCAGAGGAAACUCUGGUGGAGGCUCGUAGCGAUUCUGACGUGCAAAUCGAUCGUCAAAUUUGGGUAUAGGGGCGAAAGACUAAUCGAASCAUCUAGUAGCUGGUUCUGCGAU